CAGCCGCCACGGUAAUACGAAGGUCCCGAGCGUUGUUCGGAAUCACUGGGCGUAAAGGGAGCGUAGGCGGCGUGGUAAGUCAGAUGUGAAAUCCCGGGGCUCAACCCCGGAACUGCAUCCGAUACUGCCAUGCUAGAGGAUUGGAGAGGUAGCUGGAAUUCUUGGUGUAGCAGUGAAAUGCGUGGAGAUCAAGAGGAACACUCGUGGCGAAAGCGAGCUACUGGACAAUAACUGACGCUGAGGCUCGAAGGCCAGGGUAGCGAAAGGGAUUAGAGACCCGCGUAGUCCCUGUCUCUUAUAC
This 301-nucleotide ribosomal RNA is filed under the name uncultured bacterium. RNAcentral's name for it is "partial 16S ribosomal RNA". It matches the Rfam family "Bacterial small subunit ribosomal RNA", at positions 509 to 807 of the family's 1533-position model. The record is from RNAcentral.